Molecule: ribosomal RNA, 403 nt
Filed under: uncultured bacterium
Lineage: Bacteria
Description: partial 16S ribosomal RNA
Rfam family: Bacterial small subunit ribosomal RNA
Source: RNAcentral
GACGAACGCUGGCGGCGUGCCUAAUACAUGCAAGUCGAACGCAGUGGGGACGGGUGAGUAACACGUGGGUAACCUCCCAUCAGAGGGGAUAACACUUGGAAACAGGUGCUAAACCGAUACUGAUGGAUGGACCCGCGGUGCAGUAGCUAGUUGGUGGGGUAACGGCGCACCAAGGCCACGAUGCAUAGCGGGCCUGAGAGGGUGAUCGGCCACACUGGGACUGAGACACGGCCCAGACUCCUACGGGAGGCAGCAGUGGGGAAUAUUCGGCAAUGGGCGAAAGUCUGACGGAGCAACGCCGCGUGUGUGAAGAAGGUUUUCGGGUCGUAAAGCUCUGUUGUUAGAGAAGCGGUAUCUAAACAGAAAGCAACGGCUAACUACGUGCCAGCAGCCGCGGUAAUUC